Molecule: transfer RNA, 75 nt
Filed under: Candidatus Aenigmatarchaeota archaeon
Lineage: Archaea; Nanobdellati; Candidatus Aenigmatarchaeota
Description: tRNA-Arg
Rfam family: tRNA
About the family: Transfer RNA (tRNA) molecules are approximately 80 nucleotides in length. Their secondary structure includes four short double-helical elements and three loops (D, anti-codon, and T loops). Further hydrogen bonds mediate the characteristic L-shaped molecular structure. tRNAs have two regions of fundamental functional importance: the anti-codon, which is responsible for specific mRNA codon recognition, and the 3' end, to which the tRNAs corresponding amino acid is attached (by aminoacyl-tRNA synthetases). tRNAs cope with the degeneracy of the genetic code in two manners: having more than one tRNA (with a specific anti-codon) for a particular amino acid; and 'wobble' base-pairing, i.e. permitting non-standard base-pairing at the 3rd anti-codon position.
Source: RNAcentral
GUCCUCGUAGCUCAGCUUGGAUAGAGCACCUGCCUCCUAAGCAGGGGGUCGCGCGUUCGAAUCGCGCCGGGGACG